RNAcentral lists this ribosomal RNA (253 nucleotides) under uncultured bacterium. RNAcentral describes it as "partial 16S ribosomal RNA". It matches the Rfam family "Bacterial small subunit ribosomal RNA", at positions 524 to 776 of the family's 1533-position model. The record is from RNAcentral.
UACGGAGGGUGCAAGCGUUGUCCGGAAUCACUGGGCGUAAAGGGCGCGUAGGCGGCGCGGGGAGUCAACGGUGAAAGCUCGGCGCUCAACGCCGAGUCGGCCGUCGAUACUCCCGUGCUUGAGCACUGUAGAGGCAGGUGGAAUUCCGGGUGUAGCGGUGGAAUGCGUAGAGAUCCGGAAGAACACCGGUGGCGAAGGCGGCCUGCUGGGCAGUAGCUGACGCUGAGGCGCGACAGCGUGGGGAGCAAACAGG